Molecule: long non-coding RNA, 653 nt
Organism: Neltuma alba
Lineage: Eukaryota; Viridiplantae; Streptophyta; Magnoliopsida; Fabales; Fabaceae
Exons: 2
Source: RefSeq, a predicted model, not a curated record
GAGGGUAUGAUCACGCAGAGAAAUAGAUGCUUCAAGUCUAGGAAAAACCCUCUAGGCAUUCUAUAAAUUCAGAAGCAACGGAGGAACCAUCUCUCACAUUUGUGUUCCAUACUUCAUCUUGUAGCUGCAGAGAUUUUGCUUCCUUUGGAGAUAAAUUAAAUAGUAAUGGAUCCAGGAGGGCCGCCUGGUUGGGGACCGCCCCAGCAAGAAUCGGGGCUUUGCGGUGGCCUUUUUGAUGCUAUCGGUGCUUGCCUGAGCUUUUUGUGCUGCUGCUGGUUACUAGAAGACUGCUUCGGAGGUGCAUCCGGUCCACCUGGUCCUCCAUAAGCCCCUUUUUUCCAAGUUCCCAAACUGGGACUGCGGUCUGUAACAUUAAUUAGGGCUCUGCCCCUUUGUGCCUCUUGGUUUGUAAUGAUUUUCAUGUUCUUUAGACAGUUUGAUUCGCUUGUAUUUCUUUAAAUCUGUCUCACCUGAGGACGUUGUAUUCCAAUAAUGAUUGUAUGGGGUUCAAUCGCCACUCGGGCUAGUUGUCUUUUAGGGCUUUCUGCCCUCUGCAUUAUUAACCCCAAAAAAAAAAAAAAUUUGUUUUGCACUCUUGCUUCAAGGACGCCAUCCUCCAGGCGCAAUUCAAAAUCUAUCCACAUUUACAUCAA